GUUCUUCGGAUUUUGAUUCCGGUUGGCCAAGAAGAACCCAAGAACCCAAUUCGCAUUGUCUUCCAAAAACAAACAGCAGAAAACGCGCACUUAUCCGCCUCGCAGCCGCUCGGACUAUUCUAAAGCCCGUGUCAGCCGAUUUCGCAAUCUGAAAUUGAAAGCGGCUAAACAAAUAAAUGCAUCCAUCAUUAGCGUCGCGCCGUGCGUGCGUGCGCACGUGGGCGCGCUUCUCCUACCUACGAUGAAUAGUGUGUGUAACUACGACUGUGUGCGUGUGCGUGUGCGUGCCCGAAGCAGAGGAAGCGUGCGUGCGGAGUGCCGUGGGACGAACGAAGCCAGUGGUGGAGUAGGUAGACGAUUGAAGAGAAAAGGAGAGGAGUUCUGGCAGACAAACAGAGAAUAGAACAGAGAUGAUUCAGCGCCUCCGCAUUGUCCACGGUUCUCACGGAACUUCCAUUUACGUAUUUCUCAACACGAAGACGUGUCACGAGGAGCAGCGAAUAACCCACGUUUACCGAAAGCCCACGACGACGCGUCGUUCGUGCAGCGACAUUUCAUGCUCACGCAACCGCAAUUAAAACAGACCAAGCAGAAGAAACGAGAAAUGAAAAAAAGAACGGUGAACUUUCAUAAGUGGUUCGUGGGAGAGCUUCAUAAACGAGCAGCACUUCAUUAGCUCGGUACCAGGAGACGAUCGUUUGACUCUUCCAUGGCUCGUCACAUCUUGUCGUUUUCGUUGACGUCGUUCGAGAGAAAUGGUAGAGCCGUUCUCGUCGUGCGUGGAAUGGGAAAUCGCCUUUGAGGUCACCACGACGGAGGAAGUUCGUCACGUGGUUCGACGCGGUUGCUUCGCCUUAACCUCGUAAAGCAUUUAAAUGGAAAGUUAAGGUAAACGCGCCAAAAUUAAGGUCGCAGUCGUGCGUCGGCACAGACAAAAGCUACCAGCUGGGAUCCUCGGAUUUUCUCCAAGCUGACUAACAUCGAACGCGAUGGAUUGGAUUGAAUUGGCUCGACUCCACGCCUGUGUACAUAACGUCGAUCGUUGUCGAUCAACCGCGAUCCAGCAAAUCGCUUCGAAUGAAUAUCCGCGGGAACGUCUGGCUUGAACCAAUCAAACCAAUUACGUGCGAUUUAUUAUACACACAUGCGUAUAUAAAUAUACAUUCGUUUCUGGCUACACGACUUGUUUACAUUGGAUUUAAUAAAAUAUCGACACAGUUACGAUACA
Molecule: long non-coding RNA, 1228 nt
Organism: Ceratina calcarata
Lineage: Eukaryota; Metazoa; Arthropoda; Insecta; Hymenoptera; Apidae
Exons: 2
Source: RefSeq, a predicted model, not a curated record